Long non-coding RNA from Suricata suricatta (meerkat), 1421 nucleotides. RefSeq lists it as uncharacterized. The transcript is spliced from 4 exons. Lineage: Eukaryota; Metazoa; Chordata; Mammalia; Carnivora; Herpestidae. The record is from RefSeq and is a predicted model, not a curated record.
GUGUGGCUGGUGGAUGGAGCAUGCUGUUCGUGUAAUUUGGCAGAAGGCUGCACGUUGGCACCAGAGGGCAGUGAGAAGGAGAGGAGCCCACUGGCCCCCAGCUACUGAGUGGACAGUUACUAUAAGCGAAGGAAGAAACAUCGGUGGUGGAAAUACAUAGCAGGUCUUCAGGUGACGGGGCACGUUGACCGUGCAAGAAGGAUGGCCGGCAUGGGUGUAAUUCAUCUGAGAAAUCCUCACAGUGGUCAAAGAAGGGGGAGACUCAACGGCUGUUUCUUUUUCCUUCAUUUUUCAAACAAAGACGCUUCACGAGAACAGUAAGCCCAAAAGAGAAUUGUGUUCAUUGCAAGACUGUUCAAGCAUUGGCGGAGAGAUUUAUAUAAACAAAUUAUUCAGUUCUUCCUUUGGUGACCUCGGUCCUGAGAGUGAAUGCAAUGGUCCUACAGCUUUUUGGCCCUUCAUCAGCACAGAAGCUGCAGUCUGCGCGCAGCAAGACCCCACCAAACGGAGGAAAAUUAAAGCGAGAAAUGGUCCAUGGCGUAUUCUUACCCACCAUAAAUUGGCGUCAUUUUGGCCACCGUCCAGGGGAGAGAGACCAGCCUCCUGAAACAGAGAAAAAAGAUCAGACACUGCUGUAAGGAAGGGAGGUUUGUUGAGUUGCUCUCCUCAGGAUGAGAGAGGAAAACUGAGAAGGAAUUAACAGCAGCAAAUCGUCAGCAGGGGUUUUUUAGAGGAAAUAAAUCAACUGGAGUUUUCCAACAAAGAAAGGCAGAAUGCAGCACAGCACAUCAGAAAAAAAUAGUAAGAAAGAAAGGAAGAGAGAGAGGGAAGAAAUAAUCGGGUCCAGAAUUAUCCCAAUUGCCUUGCUCGGUGCAAACACACACACACACACACACACACACACACACACACACACACACACACACACUCCGCACUCUAUAAUCCUCCCUCAUGCCCCUAUCCUGCUGAUCUUUCUUCACUUAAAAAUUAUCAGCAAAGAAUUUAUUCAUUUGGGAGAAUUCCAGGCACUACAUUUAUGUUCAGUUCGAAUGAAAUGGGAUACAGACUUUUCAAACUGUGCUGCUCUGCAGAUAGAACACAAAGGCAGGACCUCAUUAUCUGGAGACACGGUCCUUUCUUUUUCCUCUUGCCUUUUGUUUCUGAGCAAUUUUAGGCUUGUUUGGAAAGUCUCAUAAGAGGGGCAGAGCGUUUUUCACCACAUCUAUUUCAGGAGGGUUUUUACUUAAGAAUAAUGAAUCUACCUCUAAACAGAUGGAAGAGUUUUACCAAAGCUAGAAAAGACACUUUUACUAAUAUCCCCGAUAGGCUGAUCUUAAUCCUCUCAUUGUUAGAAAUGCUUGGUCUACGAGAGUCUUAUUUAUGUGCCAAAUGUCUUUAUUAAAUCAUUAAAUUAACACAGA